AUCUUUUUGUAAUUCCUAAGCAUGAUGGUUGAUUCGGCUCUCACACUUGAUGAUUGGGCUUUCACUUGGAUCUGUGAGAUGUGCCUCCCUCAACCCUUCCUGCGAAGUCAGCACAUUACCUGACAGAAA
Small nucleolar RNA from Homo sapiens (human), 129 nucleotides. It matches the Rfam family "Small nucleolar RNA U13". NCBI's taxonomy places the organism in Eukaryota, Metazoa, Chordata, Mammalia, Primates, Hominidae. The record is from Rfam.